UAAUAUACAAGUUUCACUUUUUUAAUGGAAUUACUGAAAUAAAUCAACUUUUUGAUGAUAUUAUGACCAGCUCCUGUAUAUUUGGUAGCUAAUGGGACAAUGUGCCAGGAUUUCUGUGCGGACCCAGAAGCAGACGGGACAUAAUGAGAUGGUUAAGAGCGUGACAAUUCCGACGCGAAGGGGGGCCAUCUAAUGAGGAUGUGGAAGUGGAGAGUCAUCUGAUGAGGAUGUGGAAGCGGAGAGUCAUCUGAUGAGGAUGUGGAAGCAGCUAUUGCUGUUUUGAGACACUCUGCUGAUUAAAACAUUGUCUGUGAGAAGAUGAAAAUUACCUUCAUAUAUCGGCAAGCAAUGGUCAACGAUGCAGCCAAAUCAUCAGAUGUCUUCUUAGUCUUCCCACGAUUUCUGGACACACCAGGCCUGGUAUCUUAAUUCACUGCAUCACCAAAAUAUCCAAUGUAGCAUCAGUUAUCACUCAUCACUUCUGUCUAUGUGUGUUACAUUGCUGAUAGAACAAGAUUUCAGACUUCUGUUUGGUGAGGCCAACAGAUUCUCGGAGAAGUGGCCAACAACUUUCAAAGCAAAAGUAAUAAAGGAAAGCUAUGGACUUGUACCCACCACAGAACUCUUGGAUUUGAUGCGCAAUGCUGAGUCAGCUGCUGAAGUUGAGGAUGCACAAGGUAGAAAGAGGCCGGGAAAGAUGUCUGCAUAUCAUGCUGUAGAUCAGCUGUAGAUUUCAAAAGGUUGGACCCAGUGUGCAUCAGCAUCUAGACAACAUCACCCAAAGCAGUCUGCCCUACCUUCUCGCCCAGGGAUCCACACAGAGAAGCAUUCACUCCUACUUCAUUGUGGUUGACAAGCGUGCACUUCCAUGCAAGGCAACAGGUGCAGUAGGUGCUUCUGACGAAGUCUUUAAAGCCCAUUACGUCUUUGGUACGUCAAUACAAGCGAUCAAAAUGUAUGACUGACAAGUGGGAAAUAGUAGAACCAGUUGAAUGUGUGUGAUUGGUUCAAGAUUUGACACAAUAAAAAGACUGGAACAUAUGAUCAGGUAGUAGUUCAAGGUAAAUGUAUGUAUAUUCCAACUGUAUCUACACUGCAGUCAAUAUUUAAAAGUCAGUAUGUUUCAGAAAUGUUGCAAAGCUCAGCUACCAGCAACUCUAGACUGAGAGAUAUUUGUGAUGGAUCUUUUUUUAAGUCACCCCUGUUCUCAACUGAGAAGCAGACACUACAGGUCCAUGUUCUAUGAUGACUUUGAGGUCGCCAACCCUCUGGGUUCUAAUCGAGGUUCUGUUUAGCGGAAAAGGAGGACUUUCAGACAGAAUUCUCUGAAGAUUCUUCCAAAAUAGUUUAGCACACCAAAGAUAUAAACACUGCUCACUGUCAAGAAAUGGCUUGUAAUCAAUCCCUUCCAUACGUUUUUGGUGUGAAAAGUUCAUGCAUAUUAAAUUCAUUGAAGUACUUUCACACAACUGAGAACUUCUCAGUUGAUGUGAUCCAUGAUGUGUUAGAAGUGGUGGGCCAGUACAAAUUAAAGUUAUUAUUUCUGUAUUUGAAGGAAAAACAUGUUGCAUCAGGAGAAAUACAUUCAAGAAUACAAAGUUUUGAUUAUGGUUUCAUGGAGAGAAACAAUAGGCCCGUGGCUGUUAAUUUAGGUGAAGGAUCUAAUGAUCUGGGACUGAAUGCAGUUCAGUCCUGGUGCUUAUUUAGGAAUGUUCCUCUUAUCUUUGGAGAUUUGGUAACUUCUACUGACCAACACUGGGGCCUGCUUCUUUUCAAAUAAUUAAUUAAUUAUAUUCUCGCCCAUGUUAUCUCAAGGUCUAUGUGUACACUUAACACUUAAUUGUGGAUCACCAUACACUGUUUAAGAAGUUGUAUCCUCAGAAAAACCUUUUACCAAAGCUCCAUUUUCUUAUCCACUAUCCCCGCUGCAUCCAGUAAAUUGGGCCUGUACUUUAUAGUUGGUGUAUGAGGUAUGAAGGUAAGCAUGACAUGCUUUCCAAAAAUGGCUUAUAUUUUUUACAAAUAUUAUAAAAACGCUGGCAAAAAAGCAUCAGAAUCAUAUGGCAUAUAGUUGGCGAAGUUCAACAAUUUUCGUCGGUUAGACAUUGGUCCAGGAAAAAUAGUGUCUUUAAAUAUGGUAAAAGGAGGUUCUGGAAUUGCUAUGGCAAUGCAAGUGCCCAGUAGCAUUCAGGUUAUGAAGGUUAAUUGGGUUUGUUUAUCACCCAUCUGUGGCAAAGUAAAAUCUGAAGUGCCCUUGUUUUAUCAGAUUGAGUCAGUUCCGAUAAUGUGUGAAAAACUGUUGUUACUCACAGUGCCUUUAGUUACAGUAACUUUCAAGAACAUUUCCAUGCAUAUGAAGUGAUCAGAUCAAAACAUGAUUUGCUUUUUUUCCAUGUCGACAAACCUGCAUUACCCUAGGCUUUUUGAUAUACAAAUGUCAUAUGGAGGGAAACACACAGCUUUCCUUGUUGAGCCAUAUUGCUUUCUCUGGUGAAAAUCUUUAUGAUGUUAUACAUGUAUUUUUCUAUCAUAGACAAGGCAAUGGGUUUGCAAUGUAAAUUCACUGAUAUUGAAAUGCUUUUUAUUUACAAUAAAUGUGG
Molecule: long non-coding RNA, 2600 nt
Organism: Esox lucius (northern pike)
Lineage: Eukaryota; Metazoa; Chordata; Actinopteri; Esociformes; Esocidae
Exons: 3
Source: RefSeq, a predicted model, not a curated record